Long non-coding RNA from Callithrix jacchus (white-tufted-ear marmoset), 2535 nucleotides. RefSeq lists it as uncharacterized. NCBI's taxonomy places the organism in Eukaryota, Metazoa, Chordata, Mammalia, Primates, Cebidae. The record is from RefSeq and is a predicted model, not a curated record.
GGGGCGCGGGGCCGGGAGAGCCACAGGGAGUCCGCGCGCAAUCGAGCGCCGAUGGCACGGAUGCGAGGCGGGGAAGGCCGAGCCGAAGGGCAGAGCCGCGCCGGCGGCCGGAGGGGACCGCGCGGGGAGGGGCGGCCGCGCAGCGCGGAGGGACGGGGCGCGGGGCGGGCCCCGGGGAGCCGCUGGGGGGGCGGCCUGGGCCGGGCAGGCACACGGCUCCGAGCCCAGCGCAGCCAAGCCGGUCCGCAGAGGGGCCCCAGAACUUUGUGUGUGUGUGUGUGUGUGUGUGUGUGUGUGUGCACGUGUGUCUGUGCGCGCGCGCGUGUGUGUGCCAGGGUGCGAGGGUGCGCGCGUGCUGGCCCGGAGCGGAACCGACCCUAAGGAGAGCCCCCGGCUGGCAAAGUGGUUCGCCCGUCUCGCAGCCCGUUGGUUCUCGCGGAGAAUCCUAGGCUACUGUUGCUGAAAAGGACCUCAGAGGUCAUCUGGGCCAGCCCUGCCCUUUGAGAGUUGAAGAAACGAAGUCCAGAGAAGUAAAAUCUGUUGUCCAAUAUCACACAGUAUUGAAGCUUAGGAACAGGAGACGUACGCUGCCUGGACUGCCUGGCUGAUGUGAGCUAGUUUGUCUGCUAGCCAGUUUGAGUUGGAUGUUUAAAUAGGAGGCAGAACAACAACAGGGUGUCGUGAUCUGUUGCCCAGGCUGGAAUGUAGUUGCAAUGGCAUAAUCACAAUUCACUGCAGCCUCAACCUCCUGGACUCAAGCAACCCUCCUCCCUCAGCCCCCUGUAGCUGGGACUACAGGCAUGCACCACCAUGGCUAAUUAUUAUUAUUAUUUUUUUUUUUUUUUGAGACAGAGUCUAGCUCUGUCACCCAGACUGGAGUGCAAUGGCACGAUCUCAGCUCACUGCAACCUCUGCCUCCCAGGUUCAAGUGAUUCUCCUGCCUCAGCCUCCCUAGUAGCUGGAAUUACAGGCGCCCGCCACCAUGCCCAGCUAAUUUUUGUAGUUUUAGUAGAGAUGGGAUUUCACUGUGUUGGUCAGGCUGGUUUUGAACUCCCGACCUUGUGAUCCACCCAUCUCAGCCUCCCAAAGUGCUGGGAUUACAGGCAUGAACCACCAUGCCUGGCCAUGACUGACUAAUUUUUAAAAUUGGUUUGUAGAAAAAUGGUCUCACUGUGUUGCCCAGGCUGCUCUUGGACUCCUGGGCUCAAGCAAUCCUCCCACCUUGGCCUCCCAAAGUGCUGGAAUUACAGGUGUGAACCAUCUCACCGGCCUUUAAUCUCCUUAUUAAUGAAAUAUCUGACCCAAGGGCUAGGAUUUGAUGGUCUUUUUAGUAUGACCUCAAAUCACUAUAUUCUGUAAGCACCUUUUUCUCUUUGAGUUGGAGUCUCUAUUGCCCAGGCUGGAGUGCAGUGGCGUGAUCUCAGCUCACUGCAACUUCUGCCUCCUGGGUUCAAGUGGAUUCUCCUGCCUCAGCAGGAGAAUAGCUGGGACCGCAGCUGCCUGCCACCACACCCAGCUAAUUUUUGUAUUUUUACUAGCAAUGGGGUUUCACCACAUUGGCCAGGCUGGUCUGGAACUCCUGACCUCAAGUGAUCUGCCCAGCUCGGCCUCCCAAAGUGCUGGGAUUAUAGGCAUGAGUCACUGCACCCCAGCCUAUAAACAUGUUUUCUUCUGGAGUGUUUUCAGGUCCGUACAUGGAGUCCUAGGUCAAUGGCUUCACCAACUCACACUGAGCCCUAACCGUGGAAUCCGAGCAACAUCAUAGUUAGGUCCAGGGGCAAAAUACCAAAGUCAUCUGUUUCUGGGUUCCAUUAUUUCCUCCUCUCCAUACAUUACGCAUACAACGGUUUUCUUUUAUCACACAUUCCUGUGACCAAGUGGCAAUCAUUCUACUCCAAACUGCUGCUACACAAUUUGAGGCUUGCUAAAUUUGCCUUAGCCACAAAGCUGAUGGAGUGUUAGUUUAACAUGUAAGUAGGGACCAUGAGGAUCUUUCUGGGUAACAUUCAAGCUACUCCUCCUACUGCGACUAUUACUACUAAAUGCAUUAUUAUGAUUUCGGUGACAGACAAACACUAAAUGCUAACAGCUAAAUGCUAACAGCCUAACACAGUGAAAGUUUGUUUCUCAUCCUUACAACAGUCAGUGUAGGGGUUUAGCAAGUGGCCUUCCACAUAGUAAUUCAGAGACCCAGGCUUCCCUCACCAGUGAGUGGGAACUUCGGAGGCCUUCACUUCCAGCUGGCGGAUAGAAGGGGAGAAUGGAGGUUAUCCCCAUGGGAGAUUUUUAGGGGCCAGGCCUAGGCAUGGAGUGCUGGUUCCCUCUGCACUCCAUGGAACACAGCUCAGUGACACAGUGACAUGGCCACAUCUAACCGCAGGGAGGCUGGGAAAUGAGCACAUAUGUUGCAGUUACUAAAAAUAAUGUCUGAGUUAUACCCAUUGGCCAAGGGGAAGUGUCCAUGAUAUAUUCGUGAGAGGAGUAAUUUUCAGUGUAUGGUGUAUUAUGUAAUAUUAAUAAAAAGAAAUGUGAAAA